CAAGUACCGUGAGGGAAAGUUUAAAAGUACUUUGAAGAGAGAGUUAAGAGGGCGUGAAACCGGUGAGGUGGAAGCGGAUAGAGCCGAUGUUCUGCUCGUGAUUGGGGGUGCUUGCGCUCCGUACGGUCGCGGGUGGAGCGCUGAGGGCCGUUGGUUUCGGGUGCCGGGUCGGGGUCUGCUUGCAGCUUCUAGUUGCAUUCGCCCCGUCUUCGGUUCCUUGAGUCGGCGGUCUCCCGUGUGUCUGCAUUUGGCCCGCUUGGGGAAUCGGUGAUUCGGUGUCCACGCUUGCGAGGAUGCCGCAUUAUCUUAUUUCCCGAUGAGUUGAGGCGGGCGCACCUCGGCGUACAGUUGGUCAUCUAUCCGACCCGUCUUGAAACACGGACCAAGGAGUUUAGCGCAUGCGCGAGUCACUGGGACUUGAAACCCACAGGCGCAAGGAACGUAAUGCGUGCGAUCCGGUCGCCUAGGCGUAGGAGCAGCACGGCCCUGCGGCGCCGCAUGCGGCGUUGUGGAGGCGGAGCGCAUGCGAUGGGACCCGAAAGAUGGUGAACUAUUCCCGAGCAGGACGAAGCCGGGGGAAACUCCGGUGGAAGUCCGAAGCGGUUCUGACGUGCAAAUCGAUCGUCUGACUUGGGUAUAGGGGC
Molecule: ribosomal RNA, 644 nt
Filed under: Sakia sp. Gilan1
Lineage: Eukaryota; Metazoa; Nematoda; Chromadorea; Rhabditida; Tylenchidae
Also listed under: 1 other name
Description: LSU rRNA
Rfam family: Eukaryotic large subunit ribosomal RNA
Source: RNAcentral